GUGCAAAAUAGAAACAAACAUUCAAGAUGAGUGAGUGAUGAGUUCUGCCUGUGGUCAGAAGAAAACAACACUCCCAACUCUGCAACCUGAUCACUUCCCUACUUAGUCCUGUUUGUGGAGCCGCCUUAUUAACGACAUUAGAACAAAGAUAUGAAGACAAUGAGGUCCUCCACCAGUGCUUCCUAGAACCUGGGGACAACACAGUUGUUAUGCAGCCAAUCCAUGCCCUGGAUGCAAGUUUCGCAGGCUCCAGUAUCAUUCUGGUCAUUCCUCUGCAAAACACUACUGAAAAAGCAGUUACGCAUGGGAUCUUGAAU
This 317-nucleotide long non-coding RNA is filed under the name Homo sapiens (human). RNAcentral's name for it is "non-protein coding lnc-RUNX1T1-4:3". Lineage: Eukaryota; Metazoa; Chordata; Mammalia; Primates; Hominidae. The record is from RNAcentral.